AUUGAACGCUGGCGGCAGGCCUAACACAUGCAAGUCGAGCGGCAGCACGGGAAAGUUUACUUUCUGGGUGGCGAGCGGCGGACGGGUGAGUAAUGGCUGGGAACCUGCCCUAACGAGGGGGAUAACAGUUGGAAACGACUGCUAAUACCGCAUGAUGUCAUUUAGGUGACCAAAGAGGAGGACCUUCGGGCUUCUCGCGUUGGGAUGGGCCCAGUUGGGAUUAGCCAGUUGGUGGGGUAAAGGCUCACUCAGGCGACGAUCCCUAGCUGGUUUGAGAGGAUGAUCAGCCACGCUGGAACUGAGACACGGUCCAGACUCCUACGGGAGGCAGCAGUGGGGAAUAUUGCACAAUGGGCGCAAGCCUGAUGCAGCCAUGCCGCGUGUGUGAAGAAGGCCUUCGGGUUGUAAAGCACUUUCAGUUGUGAGGAAGAAACAGU
Molecule: ribosomal RNA, 437 nt
Filed under: uncultured bacterium
Lineage: Bacteria
Description: bacterial SSU rRNA
Rfam family: Bacterial small subunit ribosomal RNA
Source: RNAcentral